GCCCGCCUAGCUCAAUCGGAUAGAGCGUCAGACUUUUACAAUCUGUACCGGGUAGUGAUCUGAAGGCUGCGAGUUCGACCCUCGCGGUGGGCU
Molecule: non-coding RNA, 93 nt
Organism: Pisolithus marmoratus
Lineage: Eukaryota; Fungi; Basidiomycota; Agaricomycetes; Boletales; Pisolithaceae
Source: the annotation of a GenBank genome assembly